Long non-coding RNA from Papaver somniferum (opium poppy), 885 nucleotides. RefSeq lists it as uncharacterized. The transcript has 2 exons. The record is from RefSeq and is a predicted model, not a curated record. Lineage: Eukaryota; Viridiplantae; Streptophyta; Magnoliopsida; Ranunculales; Papaveraceae.
UUAAUCUUUGGAUAGUAAAAGUAGAAAACAUGAUUAUUUGGUUCAUGGUUGGAUCCAACCAAAUGAAACAACACAUAAAGUUGUAAUUAGUUGGUAAAUUGGAGUUCACGACGAAAAAAAGAAAGACUAUGGAAAUUCAAAUUUCACAACCCAACAAAAUAUCCCACACUCUUUCUUUUUCACGUCUUCUUCGAUUCGACUUUCAAUCCUUAUUAUCGACCAUGCACCACAAUGGCAUGUAGCAACUUAAUAAGGAAAUCCCGUUUGUGAAUCUAGAAGAAUUGGUUGAAGCAAAUAAAUGAUGGGCUUUGAUUCCAAGACAAAGUUGUGCAACAAGAUUGUUUGAAAUCAAUGAAGAAGAGUCUCCCAAGCUCAAAUGGAUGGAAUAGAAAUAGAUUGAGAAGAAAUGAGAAAUAUAUGGAGGGAAUUAUGCAGAUAUUGGAGUUUAUCUUGAGCGUGGGAAGAAAUUGGACACAGAUAGUAGUACUAGAGGCGCUGAUAAUAGUUAUAAAGGAUAUCAAGGUUACUUGGCAUUUUAAGAUGAGGAUACCAAAAGUAAUAACAGAUAACUUUCCGGAAACUUAGUAACAUAUGGAUUAUCAAUUAUGCAACAAUCUUUCAACUUUACGGGGAACAAAACCACCGAUAGAUAAUCGGCUGUUACAAAUUCUCUAAUUCGCAAUGAUUUCACUGUACAAUUUUAUAUAUGAAAUAGCGCAAGGUAGUAAGGGGGUAAAGGCCUAAUGGUUUUCAAUAAAAAAAUAUGGGCGCCAUUUGUUACAGUUGCAAUCGCACAUGUAAUGUUAAAUGUAAUUUAUGUUUAGUCGUACUGUAAGGGAUUGCAUUUGAUUCCAAUAUUUUAUGCUUGCAUGUUUGUAUACUGUA